AUUGAACGCUGGCGGCAGGCCUAACACAUGCAAGUCGAACGGUAACAGGAAACAGCUUGCUGUUUCGCUGACGAGUGGCGGACGGGUGUGUCAUGUCUGGGAAACUGCCUGAUGGAGGGGGUUAACUACUGGAAACGGUAGCUAAUACCGCAUAACGUCGCAAGACCAAAGAGGGGGACUUUCGGGCCUCUUGCCAUCAGCUUUGCCCAGAUGGGAUUAGCUAGUAGGUGGGGUAACGGCUCACCUAGGCGACGAUCCCUAGCUGGUCUGAGAGGAUGACCAGCCACACUGGAACUGAGACACGGUCCAGACUCCUACGGGAGGCAGCAGUUGGGAAUAUUGCACAAUGGGCGCAAGCCUGAUGCAGCCAUGCCGCGUGUAUGAAGAAGGCCUUCGGGUUGUAAAGUACUUUCAGCGGGGAGGAAGGGAGUAAAGUUAAUACCUUUGCUCAUUGACGUUACCCGCAGAAGAAGCACCGGCUAACUCCGUG
RNAcentral lists this ribosomal RNA (490 nucleotides) under uncultured bacterium. RNAcentral describes it as "partial 16S ribosomal RNA". It matches the Rfam family "Bacterial small subunit ribosomal RNA", at positions 30 to 507 of the family's 1533-position model. The record is from RNAcentral.